Molecule: ribosomal RNA, 615 nt
Filed under: uncultured Flavobacteriales bacterium
Lineage: Bacteria; Pseudomonadati; Bacteroidota; Flavobacteriia; Flavobacteriales
Description: bacterial SSU rRNA
Rfam family: Bacterial small subunit ribosomal RNA
Source: RNAcentral
UAUGUCUUCGGAUAUAGAGACCGGCGCACGGGUGCGUAACGCGUAUGCAAUCUACCUUUUACAGAGGGAUAGCCCAGAGAAAUUUGGAUUAAUACCUCAUAGUAUAGCUCUACCGCAUGGUAGUACUAUUAAAGUCACAACGGUAAAAGAUGAGCAUGCGUCCCAUUAGCUAGUUGGUAAGGUAACGGCUUACCAAGGCAACGAUGGGUAGGGGUCCUGAGAGGGAGAUCCCCCACACUGGUACUGAGACACGGACCAGACUCCUACGGGAGGCAGCAGUGAGGAAUAUUGGACAAUGGGCGCAAGCCUGAUCCAGCCAUGCCGCGUGCAGGAUGACGGUCCUAUGGAUUGUAAACUGCUUUUGUACGAGAAGAAACACUGCUUCGUGAAGCAGCUUGACGGUAUCGUAAGAAUAAGGAUCGGCUAACUCCGUGCCAGCAGCCGCGGUAAUACGGAGGAUCCAAGCGUUAUCCGGAAUCAUUGGGUUUAAAGGGUCCGUAGGCGGUUUAGUAAGUCAGUGGUGAAGCCCAUCGCUCAACGGUGGAACGGCCAUUGAUACUGCUGAACUUGAAUUAUUAGGAAGUAACUAGAAUAUGUAGUGUAGCGGUGAAAUGC